This 253-nucleotide ribosomal RNA is filed under the name uncultured bacterium. RNAcentral's name for it is "partial 16S ribosomal RNA". It matches the Rfam family "Bacterial small subunit ribosomal RNA", at positions 524 to 776 of the family's 1533-position model. The record is from RNAcentral.
UACGUAGGGGGCUAGCGUUGUCCGGAUUUAUUGGGCGUAAAGAGCGUGUAGGCGGCUUUGCAAGUCCGUUGUGAAAACUCGAGGCUCAACCUCGAGACGCCGGUGGAAACUGCAAAGCUAGAGUCCGGAAGAGGAGAGUGGAACUCCUGGUGUAGCGGUGGAAUGCGCAGAUAUCAGGAAGAACACCAACGGCGAAGGCAGCUCGCUGGGACGGUACUGACGCUGAGACGCGAAAGCGUGGGGAGCGAACAGG